UACGUAGGGCGCGAGCGUUGUCCGGAUUUAUUGGGCGUAAAGAGCUCGUAGGCGGUGUGUCGCGUCGGCCGUGAAAACCUGCAGCUUAACUGUGGGCUUGCGGUCGAUACGGGCAUCACUGGAGUUCGGCAGGGGAGACUGGAAUUCCUGGUGUAGCGGUGAAAUGCGCAGAUAUCAGGAGGAACACCGGUGGCGAAGGCGGGUCUCUGGGCAACAACUGACGCUGAGGAGCGAAAGCGUGGGGAGCGAACAGG
This 254-nucleotide ribosomal RNA is filed under the name uncultured bacterium. RNAcentral describes it as "partial 16S ribosomal RNA". It matches the Rfam family "Bacterial small subunit ribosomal RNA", at positions 524 to 776 of the family's 1533-position model. The record is from RNAcentral.